CCAAUGAUGGAUUUAUGCCCCCUACGUGCCUCCCCCUCGCCAUCAGCAAAAAUCUAGAUGCAUCUCUAAUCCUCUGCUGGACCUCGCUCCUACUGUGUGGUUUGAUUUUGAGGUCAUGUUUCAGAAUUGGAUUUGGUUCUUUGAUCUCAUACCUUAGGUAGUUAGGUUUGCAUUUGCCACUUUCAUUUCCUUUCACACAUUUUUAAUGACCUUCAAAUGAGUUUAUUUUUUAGGAGAAGGCCAGCAUCGAGUAGCAUAUGGUGCCGCAAAGUCAAAGUGUAUUUCGUCAAGCUAAUCAGAUAUGUGUGCUACAGUACCAUUGGACAUUCUUAUCUUCAUCCUCUAUUGGGAACCUGUGUUUCCCAAUCUCUUGCUUUUGUUGCUAAGUUGUGAUAUAACUUUUUGAAACACUAAUAUUUGUGGUAAAUUAUCGUACAAUUGUUGUCUGUAGAGCUCCCGAAACCUGUGUUGAAACUGUUUGCUUAAGAGUUCAACUUCAUUGGGGUCUUUUUCACUAAGAAACUGUUAUAUGCUAGGAGACUUGAUUAACAAUUUGUUAAUAUAUGACAAACCUAAAUACAUUCCUAGUCUAUAGUUAAAUAGUAUAACCAUCACAGAGUCUGACUUGCUCAUAAAUAUAUUGGCUAUAUUUCACUUUGGACCAAUCCAUUAGUCCUAUGUUGCUCCACGAGUGCACUUACUUUUUAGGACUGCGUUUUGCCUAUCAUGCUAAUAAUUGUUUUGGAUGAUGAAUCUAGAUAUGUGUUUCCUCUGCUUACUGCAUGAGACAUCGUCCUGUAUUUAUCUGAACUAUCUAAGUUACAACAAAGAUGUCUUGUAACAAUCUAUCUUAAUUUGCACCAUGUCUAUCUGGCUAUAUAUGUCAUCUAUGUCAGAUUCGACUUUUGUGGUCUCAGUUAUCCAAAACUCUUAGUUGAUUCAACCAUGUUUGAUAUUAUUUACAGGGUAGGAAAUUUUGAUGUAAGUAGGCAAAUUAUUUUAGUAAACGACUACAAGUAUGUGUAAUCAGUUUUCUAUCAUUUUUUU
Molecule: long non-coding RNA, 1047 nt
Filed under: Hordeum vulgare
Lineage: Eukaryota; Viridiplantae; Streptophyta; Magnoliopsida; Poales; Poaceae
Description: long non-coding RNA (HVUL_LNC010024)
Source: RNAcentral